Lagopus muta (rock ptarmigan) is the source of this 5495-nucleotide RNA transcript. It is a transcript of the gene named maternal embryonic leucine zipper kinase-like, with no coding region annotated. NCBI's taxonomy places the organism in Eukaryota, Metazoa, Chordata, Aves, Galliformes, Phasianidae. The record is from RefSeq and is a predicted model, not a curated record. The transcript has 6 exons.
AUGGUGCUAGAAUACACUGAGAAGGGAAAUAGCUGAGCAUGACGAGAGGCCUUGCUUUUCUGAUGGCAGAACAUGCUGAGCUGUGCUGUGUGUGGAAAGGCCUGUCUGCUGAAUAUUGUCCCCUUUUUUGCUGCUUUGUCUACCAGUAUUUUGUGGGUUUGGUUCUGCACUUGGUUGGCCUAUGCGGCGCUGUAGCCUGAUUAUAUAACAUGGUAGCAUGCAGAGUUUGAGGAGAAGUGUUUGCUUGCCAAUGGGCUAAUUUCUGUAUCUGGUUCUUCAACUGGCUGCUCCCUGUACUACCUGUAGUAAAAAUAGAAAUACAUCGUUUGAUUUACCAGAAAUGAAUGUUAUGGAAUGCCAGCUCUUCUCCUGUCUAGGAAGAGCACAGUUCUGCAGCUGCUAUCAGAAUUUCCUCUUCCAGAACCAGGAGGAAAUGUAGGACCCCACUGAUUGCCUUUGAAUUCAGCAGUUCGUUCUGUUUCCUUUCAGAGCGCACAACAACCUGAGCGUGUGAAUCAAGUGACACGGCUUUUCAGGCUGGUGUGAACUGUGUUGUGCACUGAGCCUUUGUCCCUUUGUAAUUAGGACGUUGUCCAUGUCUGCAGGACUGCAGAAAAUCCUUUGUGCUAAUCACUACCCCAAUUUGCAGAACGUGGCAAAUGGAAAAUGAUCCAACUGCUUCAGGUGCACAUUUCCUUAAAAUUGUGGAUAGUUUUGGACUGCGAGUCUGUAAGCAGAAUGGAGCUCUUAAAGCUGUCCAAGAUUGUUUCUGCACCAUUUAGUUCUAUCUGUCUGAUGCACACAGGAGCUGAGGGCUGCAGUGCUUGAACUGGUGGAACUUGUUUAAGUGAACUGGGAUGAGCAAGUUUCAGAACUGAGUCAGAAUGCAGUAAAAAAUGGAUACUCUCACAAGUAUUAAGAUACUGCCUUGCUAUUUCUGCACUGAAUUUGUUUUGAUUUUAUGUGGCUGUGAUCUGAAAAGUGCUUGGAAUGCAGACACCAAGGCAUUGUUGUGUCAUUGACUGUCACACGUUACAGAUCCUGAGAUAUCCUGGAAUCUAAAACUCAGAACUGGUUUAAGUCUACUGCUUGAAUCCAAUCACAGCAUCUGUGUUCAGUGUUCUUUUCCCUGCUCCACAUCACUUCAUUUGGGAAAUACUUAAGGAAAUUGACUAUGUGCCAUAACUGCUGUUAGAACAAAGUAUUUCUGGUGUGCUGUUGGGCAUUUUGUAGCUCUUGUGAGCAGUUUCCCUUCCAGCAUUGCCCUCAGCCAAGCACGUGUGAAUUUUUACCAUUACAUUUGUUCAAGCUGUUCUUAAAGCAGAGUUUGUAAUCUCUGUUCCUACGCUUUGAAAGGAAAGAGAUGUCAAUAUCAUCCAAAUAAUUUAAUAGUUCCUUUUGAGCUAGUUGUUGAAGGUUCAUUCUCAAUCCUCUCUUAUUUUAGUGAAGAAAAUAACUUUUUUAUUGCAGAGAGGAAAAGACACUGUUCCAAAAUGGCUUUCCCCUAGCAGCACGCUGCUACUUGACCAACUGCUGCAGGUAAAAGGGCUGCUUCUAUUCAGAUUGAUGUACAAAAUGCUGUUGCAUCAGCUCAAAGCAUUGAUGGAGUGCUUAGAAAAUAUGCGGUGUUUAAACAAGUUAAACUGCUCCACACCUGAUGUCCUUGAAGAAAAGGUUAGCAUUGCCUUGUGCUGAAAAUUCUCCAAUAGUCACGUAGUACUAGUUAAUGGUUAUAGAAAUGAUUGCAGUUUUAAUAACUACACAGUCUUCAAGCAGCUUGCAUUUGGAUGUUCUUAAUUGUGCUGUGUAAUUAAAAGUGAUCUGUACACAAAAGCUGUUUCUCCAAGGAAGCUGAACGUACUGAGUGUGCCUUUGGGCUGUAUCUACGCAGUCUCACAUACAAAAUGCUCGUGGAACAUUUACUGUAACCAUAGGUGCUGUAACUGUUCUUCACAGCUCAGGUGUUUGACCUUCCUUCUGGUGAAGGGAAUAAAUACUGCUGGUCUCUAUUUGUGCUUCCAGGCACCUUGAAGUUGUUAGGAAAAGAAUAACUGUCUGCAGUUCUUCUCGGUGAUGUAAGUAACAGCUUGAAUGUUGCUGCCCACUAGGCAGACCCAAAGAAGCAGAUGACAGUUAAACUCCUGUGAAAUCACCCUUGGCUCAUGCAAGGUUAUUCUGGUGCUGUUCAGUGGCAAAGUAAAUACCCAGUAAGUACACGCACUCGAAGAAGCCUAAGUAUGUUCUGGAGUCUUUCCUGGACCACUGGCAUCCUCUCAGAAAGGGAGUGAUAACACAUUUCUUCAGAGGCUGCUGACAAGUGGUGACUCUCCGGGGUCCAUUUUGGCACCUUCAACACCUUUGUCAGUGACAGAGAGAAUGGACCUAGAGAGCACCUUCAGAAAGCUUGCAGGCAGCCCCGUGCUGAGAGGUGCGGUGGAUCAAACAGGAGGUAGGGAUGUCUCAUCCUGGUGGCAUUCAGGGCCGGGUUGGAUGAGGCCCCGGACAGUUUGAUCUGGUGAGUUGCAGCUCUGCAACUUGGAGCUUGAUGGUCUUUAAGGUCCCUUCCAACUCAAGCCGUUCUAUGAUUCUCUGGAACUGUGCUUGUGCUCCUUAUCUCUCAAUUGUCUGACCUGUGUGAGAGGUUGGGGUAGCGGGGUUGGGGUGGGAAUUGGGGGUGCGAGGGAGAUUCUUGCUGCAGAUACUGAGAAGUUGCUGUGUAUUUGCAGCCAAUGGCUGCUGCUGGCCUCUGGGUGCCACUGUUUCUCUGAAGAACAGCUGUGCUGAUGGUACACCACCAUGUGCUGUGCAUGCCGUGCAACUGAAUAAUUAAGAGGGGACAGAGGUGUAACUUGUGCUCUAGUGAAAAUCUCAUCUGCUGACAGGCUUUUGUACUUGAAUGCAGAACCUGUUGCCACAGAGGGACCAGUUGCUGAAGCGUGGUGACUCUUUCUGUUUACUCCUUGCAGUAUUUAGCCCUGAUGCUAACUAUUUAAAAUAGAAAAUCUGAAAUGGUGGCUAACUAUUGGCUUGAUUGGUGCAUAUCAGAAGACUAUCAUGGUGAUAGUGGCUCUGUGAGAUGACUUGGAAGCUGUUUCUUCAGUACAGGUCUUGUUCUUGCAGCUGGGGCACCUUGAUGAAGACUGUGCAACAGAACUUGCUGUGUUUCACAACCAGAGCAGAGAGAGUAUAUUGGCAUUAAUAUCAGAGGUGGAAUCGUGACCAGAUGUCACAGCCUAUCUCUUGCUUCAAUCCAGGAAGGUUCGUGGCAAGCGCAUCCACUUAAGGAUUCCAUCACAAACGACGUGCAGUACAACACAGCCAGCAAGCCAGGGAAGAAUCUCAACUGAACACUUCUUUUCAGUCUGAAAAGGCUGUGACAUCUGAAGAUGUGCCAGGUUGCAGCCAUGUGCCACAUGCAUUUGGAUCCAUGGAAUUUGCUGAUGGAACUUCAUUGUUUGAAGAAUCUCCACUAGAAGAGUUUGUUCUAAAUGCUCACAGAACAAAGCAGUACCUGGCAGCAUUCAAGGUGUGAUACUCAGCUGGGCGAUAUGGAAUUCACACUGUCAGCUCCAGUGACAGGAAAAGUGGCAUCUAUGAAGCAUGCAAAGAAAUGUGGAUGCAGAGUCAGCAUGAAGAAAUGCGCUGCCCUUUGCACUUCCUGCUCCAAAGGCCUCCUUUCCAAAGAGUGAGACACAGAAGCAAGUGCAAGGCAAACCCCUCCAGGCACCUCCUUCCACAGAGAGCCAGUGCACGACAGUCAUCGCAGUUAAGAAGCCCAAAACACCAGCAAAUACGUAUGAACUGACAGCAGCUGAGGUUCUUCCUGAGAGGAGUUGACCUCCUCCUCUCCAGAGGCUCCCAGUACCAACACUGCGAUUCUCUCUGCAGAGGCUAGCCUCACUUCCAGUGCCCUGUCCUCUCCACCUCCCCCUGUGCAAGUCAUGCUGUUUACAGCAGCAGUCUCCAUCUGCAGCUCACUCUCUCACACCAAGUUCUGCUCGCAGGGAACGGUGUGGGGGGUUGCUCUCACCCCAGCACAGAUGAACUCACUUUCUCUUUAACCCUUUUUCCUUUGUCGUACCCUCAGUUACACUUCCACAUACCCUCCAUUCUACUUCUGUAUACCAGUAACAAUUGCCUUUCUUAUGCCAUCAAAACAGUUUGUCCCAUUCCUUUCACAAUCCACAAAUCAAACCGUACAGUUCUUCAGCUUCCACAAACACCCAGCACUUGGUCUCUCAUGAUUAGGGUACUCCAUUAUAAAACUGGUCCCGUUAUUCCAUUUAUGUUCCUAGUUCCUUAUUUGAUAUUCCCCCCGGCCCUCCUGCAGCAUCCUUCCAAUGUGCCAACAUACACCUGAGAGGUGUUUGUUUGUUUGUUCUGUUGGUAUUUCUUUCCCUUGCGAUCCUCCCAUAGCGCUAUUUUGUUGUUUUAUUAGUUUAUUAACGUUUCCACUAAUUACUCCUUUUACCCUGAAGUUUCCCCAAAACAAUCCCCAAAACUUGUUCCACCACUGUUGUCCACACUCCAGACACGAGUAACACCAAUCCCCUUGCUGUAUCUCUUUACAAGCUGAGCAGAGUAUAACAUAAUCUGGAUAAAAUAAUAUGUGAAAUAUACACCUUUAUUCCGGUCGGUCACUGUAAUUUAUGACAUAUAGGUUCCCAUAUUCAUCCCACUCCAAAAAGUUCAUUUGCAUUUACACUAAAACCAUUCAGAUUCCCUUUUUCCCAAUUUAUCAAAAAGAAGAAUUUUACUUCUUUAUUGGUGAGCGAGAGGGAUGGGAAUGUAACAAAUGAGCCUUGACAUAAGGCACUUGAUUAAGAAUUGAUUUUUUUAAUGACAGAUUCAAUUUCGUUUUGAAAACCAAAACAAAACAUUUGGCAAUCAAAGAAAAGCUCUAUAAAUACUGGUUAAUAAGCUUUAAUAUCAUACCAAAAUACUUUUUCACGUCAGUUAACGUAGUUAAUAAGGUAUUUGUGGGUUUUGUUUAUAUACAUACAAUAUAUGGCUUUAUUUCACAAAAACAACAACAACGAACACCAAAGCAUUGCUAACAGCAACAAUUAGUCACCAAGAUUCCCUUUUGAGCCCUUUUCACAUUAACCAGAGCAGGGGUUGGCGUUAGACUUGGGUACAUCAAGGAUUUCGGUUCAGGAUAGGGUUCUGAGAAAGAAACAGUCCUGCAAGAGGACUCGAGGUCGGGAACGGACUCCAUCAGGCAUGCAGACCCCCGGCCGCGUGCCACUGCCAGACCCUCGCCCCGAGUCCAACAGGAGCACCCCAACAAACAGCCCCGUGCCACCCUCAGCUCCGCGAGACCCCCACCUCCCCCAGCCCCCAGCCACAAGCGGCCCCCAAAACGCGCCCAGGCCUUCAGGGCUCCAGAGGGACGCCCCAAAUGCCCGCGGGACCCCGCAAGUCCCCACGAUCCACAGCCCAGCCCCGCAAGGAGCCCCAUUCCGCAUCCCGAGCCCCGGAGCCGCUCCCGGCCC